CUCCGCUUUGCUUCCCCCACAUGAACAGCGCUGCGCUAAAGCAGCUAAAGCAGCUCCGGCAGGAACCGCGGCGACAUCCCAGAGCCCCCCUACCCAGCGUGGGCAGCAGGAAAGGGAUUGGGAUUGUGCCCUGAGCCCCCUGAGGGCCUGAAGGAGCCUCAGGAAAACUGGAGAGAGACAAUUGCCAAGGGCUGCAGGGCCAGGAGCCAGGGAAUGACUUCCCACUGAAAUGGGGGAGAUUUAGGUGAUCACCCCCAGCUCUCCCAGCCUGGCUCCAGAGCAAAGGAGCUCCGUGGUUUCCUCUGGACUCUGCAGCAGCUCCACAUUUUCUGGUGUUGAUCCAGAGGCAGCUCAGAAGAGCAGAGGAGAGGAGAAUCCCUUCCUUCAGCCUCCUGCUUGUGCUUCUCUUGCACCACCAGCACAUCUGGAGCGUGAUGGAGCGAAAAUAGGAGUCAGAUCACUAAAAAGGAGUUGGGAGUGAAUGUGUGUGCAGGUAUCAGGUCCCUCCUGUGAUUCAUUCCCUAAUUGAUUGUUCAGUCAAUCCGUGGAGAUUGAUGAUUUUAUUGGACAUUUUAAAGUUGUUUUUUUUAAGGUGGGCUUAAGUCACAGAGUUUGGAUCUAAAUCGUCACUUUUGACCACAAAUUCGCAGUUAUUCUGAGGACAGAAGAUCAAAUCAUAGAUUUUUCUUGGACUUUCCCAAGAUCCUCACGGGAACCACCACAUCGAUUUCCUCAGGACUCCAUUAUCCUGUGUGUUAAUUUAGUCAACACUUCCACAGCUCUUUGGAAUUCCAGUGAGUUGCCUCUGUGUGACUCCAUUAAUCCCUCACUGCUGGCAUUCCCAGAAAAUCAAGAACCUGGUUUUUGUACUUCUCUCCCCAGUCCUCCACGAUGUACUGGUGAUAGGGAUCGUUGGAGUGCUCCCUCCUCUUGGAUUUCACCGUGC
This is a non-coding RNA of Cyanistes caeruleus (blue tit), 946 nucleotides long. Lineage: Eukaryota; Metazoa; Chordata; Aves; Passeriformes; Paridae. The record is from RefSeq and is a predicted model, not a curated record.